UACCAGCACCCCGAGUGGUCGGGACGAUUAUUGGGCCUAAAGCAUCCGUAGCCGGUUCUACAAGUCUUCCGUUAAAUCCACCUGCUUAACAGAUGGGCUGCGGAGGAUACUAUAGAGCUAGGAGGCGGGAGAGGCAAGCGGUACUUAGUGGGUAGGAGUAAAAUCCGUUGAUCCAUUGAAGACCACCAGUGGCGAAGGCGGCUUGCCAGAACGCACUCGACGGUGAGGGAUGAAAGCUGGGGGAGCAAACCGG
This 253-nucleotide ribosomal RNA is filed under the name uncultured bacterium. Its description in RNAcentral is "partial 16S ribosomal RNA". It matches the Rfam family "Archaeal small subunit ribosomal RNA", at positions 474 to 727 of the family's 1478-position model. The record is from RNAcentral.